CCUACGGGAGGCAGCAGUAGGGAAUCUUCCGCAAUGGACGAAAGUCUGACGGAGCAACGCCGCGUGAGUGAGGAAGGCCUUCGGGUCGUAAAGCUCUGUUGCCAGGGAAGAACGCCUUGUAGUUCACUGCUACAAGGGUGACGGUACCUGAGAAGAAAGCCCCGGCUAACUACGUGCCAGCAGCCGCGGUAAU
RNAcentral lists this ribosomal RNA (193 nucleotides) under uncultured Paenibacillus sp. RNAcentral's name for it is "partial 16S ribosomal RNA". It matches the Rfam family "Bacterial small subunit ribosomal RNA", at positions 338 to 524 of the family's 1533-position model. The record is from RNAcentral. Lineage: Bacteria; Bacillati; Bacillota; Bacilli; Caryophanales; Paenibacillaceae.